This 658-nucleotide ribosomal RNA is filed under the name Botrylloides violaceus. RNAcentral describes it as "eukaryotic LSU rRNA". Lineage: Eukaryota; Metazoa; Chordata; Ascidiacea; Stolidobranchia; Styelidae. The record is from RNAcentral.
GAGAAAUUGGUUCAAGAGAAAGAUCUUUUGAAUGGAACAAUGCGAAAUAUUCUUAAAUGUUAGAAUAACCGCCCGCCACUCAUGAGGCUGGUAAGGUUAAGUUUUUUUCAAUAAUUGAAACAAAAUGAUUGUUUAGGAGAAUCAAAGAUCCACAGAGUUUGAUCUUUGUUUUUAGAAUAACGACGAGUGAGAUUGAUGAGAUUAUCGUACCCCUGGACUGGUCACACCUUUAGUAAAGUGUGUCAUGCCUGUAUGUGAAAUAAUUUUUCAUCGUGAAAUGACGCCUCACAGUAUAAUGUCUUGUUCGUGGAGACACAUACCAGUUUGGCAGAUUAAUAAAUAUAAAGGUGAUAAUUAUAUAAAAUUAAAUAGAAGGAUGUACCCACAGAUUAGGUGAAACUUUAAAAUAAAGAAGGGAAUUUCUAAAGAAAAAUGGAUUAUAGGGAUUUCUCUAAAACUUGAGAUGAUAAGAAAAAAUUUAUGGUUAUUCAUAUUGGCACUAAUGACCGUGAAUAAAAUAGACCAGUUGUGAAUUGAUUUAGUUUAGGUAAGUAACAAAUUAGAGUUAAUCAGGAGAGAUACAAUUUCAGAUUCUAGUAUUAAAUUCGAGAAAAUUUUGUAAAAGAUAUUAUUUGUUUGUAUUCCACUUUAUUUGGAA